GAUGAACGCUGGCGGCGUGCCUAAUACAUGCAAGUCGAGCGAACAGACGAGGAGCUUGCUCCUCUGACGUUAGCGGCGGACGGGUGAGUCACACGUGGAUAACCUACCUAUCAGACUGGGAUAACUUCGGGAAACCGGCGCUAAUACCGGAUAAUAUAUUGAACCGCAUGGUUCAAUAGUGAAAGACGGUUUUGCUGUCACUUAUAGAUGGAUCCGCGCCGCAUUAGCUAGUUGGUACGGUAACGGCUUACCAAGGCAACGAUGCGUAGCCGACCUGAGAGGGUGAUCGGUCACACUGGAACUUAGACACGGUCCAGACUCCUACGGGAGGCAGCAGUAGGGAAUCGUCCGCAAUGGGCGAAAGCCUGACGGAGCAACGCCGCGUGAGUGAUGAAGGUCUUCGGAUCGUAAAACUCUGUUAUUAGGGAAGAACAAAUGUGUAAGUAACUAUGCACGUCUUGACGGUACCUAAUCAGAAAGCCACGGCUAACUACGUG
This 497-nucleotide ribosomal RNA is filed under the name uncultured bacterium. RNAcentral's name for it is "partial 16S ribosomal RNA". It matches the Rfam family "Bacterial small subunit ribosomal RNA", at positions 28 to 507 of the family's 1533-position model. The record is from RNAcentral.